AACCGCUAAUAACCGCUACCACCC
Molecule: non-coding RNA, 24 nt
Filed under: Arabidopsis thaliana (thale cress)
Lineage: Eukaryota; Viridiplantae; Streptophyta; Magnoliopsida; Brassicales; Brassicaceae
Source: RNAcentral